Long non-coding RNA from Ornithorhynchus anatinus (platypus), 2258 nucleotides. RefSeq lists it as uncharacterized. The transcript is spliced from 5 exons. The record is from RefSeq and is a predicted model, not a curated record. Lineage: Eukaryota; Metazoa; Chordata; Mammalia; Monotremata; Ornithorhynchidae.
GCUCUGCUCAGGCAGUGGGACGGGAAGUGGAGAAGGGGGAGGAGGCAGUUUCAGACCAGCUCCGCCGGCCAAUGCAGCAGCCAGAGGAGAGAGAGAAGAUGGAGCGGGCUCCCUGUCCUCCGGGCCACGGGGCUCCCGCUCCCCCCCGGCUCCGGUCCCAGAGACCCAUCGUCCUGCCUCCAGCUCAGCGGCAAACAUUGCUUCUCCAGGAAAGUUCCCACUCAACAGUAGUUCUGGGGAGAAAACCGUUGGAGAACAGCAGCCCCUUAGAGCUUUUGUGAAGGUGGGUCAUCCACGUUCCUGGAACUGCUGACAAAUCUUCAGAAUUCAAGAGCCAAUCAUUCCUGAGUCGGGGCGGGCAGAAAGCCAGCGGAGUCCAAAAUCGCACACUGACUUGAAGCGCUCAUCGCCAACAGGUAGGGGCAAGAGGAAGCAGUCAGAGAUCCAGAACAAGAUGUGAGUACUGGGCUCCAUCAAUCCAAAAUUUAACAAGACCCAAAUCUUCGUUUGAGGUGAUGGCUCUCUACUGGAGCGAUGACACUGACAUGAGGUAAGCGGUACUAGCGGGUAUUAAUUAUUUAUGGAGACUCCAGAUUCUUUAUGGAAUGCAGUAAAAAGAAAUCCCCAAACGAUCCAAUCAUCCAAAUAUCAUAUUUUAGAAGAAAUGCACAUCAAAUCUAUUGAGAUUGACUAUUCAUCCCCUAAAUGGGCUAAAUCAAUUUGUGAAUUAAGGUGGAUUUGUAAAGUAACAACAUUUGGGGAGUAGAAAAUGAUAAAAUAUGACAAAAUUUUUAAAGGUAAUCUCAUUUUUUCAGGUUUAUUCCUAGUAAAAUAUAUAUUUAAUUUAUAGUCACAUAUAUAACUAUAAAUCAAAUUAAAUAUAUAUAAAUAUAUAUGGGGGGGUUGGGUCAAAUUCCCCAAGUCCAGUCCCUAUACUGUAUAUGGCAGGUCUACCCUGAUGAAAGGGUGAUGGGGGAGGGGGAAUUUUGUGGCAUUGCCCUAGACCAUGGAAUAUAGAUCAGAUCUGUGCUUCCCACCCAUUGUAUUAACCCCUUAAACCACAGAGGCCACUGGGCCCCUAGAUGGAUGAGGAAGCAGGUAUGUCUCUCAGGCCCAACUUCCUACCAACCAGAAGAAUAGUGCCUCUGGAGGCAUGAAACUAGCAAAGAGACACAGGGGGGCUCCAAGAGAGAAGAAAGGAAAAGGCCAGACGAUGCAGCAAGGAAUCUGCAAAAGAAAGGAGGAGCCCAGAACAAGAUGGAGGGUGAGUAUUUUCUUGAUAAUUAAUGGAUAUAUAUAGAGAGAGAUUGAAGAUGCUAGUGAAUGUUAGAUGCUCAUCAAUUAUUUCAUUUUUAUUAGCCUAGCCUGUGUUACAGUUCAUUUCUUAUGAUUGGAAUGGAAUGAGAAGGGGCUAAAAAAAAGCUGCUCAUCCAGGGCUGGAGCCAGCCCCAGCCCCAGGACACCUAGUGUAGCCAUUUGUUUGAUUUUAUACUGGACCAAUCUGGUUUUCAACCGGUUUGUCUCCUAUGAGGUCCAAAGAGGGACACCGGAGAACGUUAUGCCCGGUAUGUCAAGCCUCCUGCCAUUGAGUUCUGCGGUCUGGAAGUCUUGGCUGGGUCCAGAGGAACGCAGUGGCUCUGGAGCAAUUGGGGGGCGGGUGGGACUGGGGAGGAUACCCUGGAGAAACGCUCUAGGUUCGGGGGGGAUUGGGCAGAGUUUUGCAAAAUGGCGUCCAUAUGACAUUGUGGUGUACUGCUGUUUGCCGGCAUAAUGCAUAUAAUGUCACGUGUGUCCUGAGGUCUGGUUUGAGUGCCAUCGCUGGCCAUCCUAGUCCCACCCCCAAAGUCUCUGGGUCCCACUUUUGUCCAGGAUGAUGGGAAUGGUGGUGGGUGGGAAUCCAGUAACCUCGGGAGCAGCCACAGCUGGAAGGUAGAGGAGAGGGAAGACUGCCCAGCCUCUUCCUCCUCCUAUACCGCCUGCUCCUCCUCUUUGGCAGCAACAAUAAUUGCUGUGGCUGCUAUUGCCGCCACCAGACCUGAGCUGGGCCUUGCCAGGGCAUUACUUGGGAGAUUUCCAGCUGUCCUAGCAACCUCCAAGAAACAAUCUGGGCAGUGGUCAUGAUUUUUCUUUUUUCCCCCCUCUUUCCCUUACUGUUUUCCCACACCUCUCUUUCCUGCCCUCUUGACCCCACCCCCAUCCUCUUGUCCCAGGGCUCAGGUGACCAAAAUAGUCACUUUACCCCAGAGAGGAGGGCCUGG